CAACUUCCCUCCUCCCUGCCUCCUAGGGGCACUCAGGAAGAAGUUAGGGCUUGCUUAGAUGAGCUGGUCACUCACAUUAGCAGCCAGUGCUGCCACCUGUGAGCUGCUGAGGCUGUGAACAUUACUAAGUUACUUUACAGAAAGAGUUACUGUGCUGAAAGUACAACUGUGAUGCAAAAAGUUCACCAUCCUGGUUUGUGAGAGCCUGUGGGCAGGAGGCAAGCUAGUCUUCCACAAGAGAGACAAUUAAGAGACAAUGGUACAGAAAUGCAUGUUGUAGCACACGCCAGUGCUCCCGUGUAUUGACCUUGCAGCUUCAAGCAACUUAGAGAAUGGCUUGGUUUUCAAAAUUACAAUUCCUCCCAGGUUCUGGAGGCAGGCACAGAGAAGAUUCUUCAGAUUUGAGACUACUUCAGUGAGAUAAAAUACCUAGUUUGGGAAAUGCUGCCCUUUCCUUGGAGACCUGCUGGGAUAUUGGAAUUUCAUGUGCAUCAAAAAUGCAGGGCACACAGAAACAUCUGAAAAGCUGCCAGAGGGAAGCAGUUUAUAUUUCUGUGCAAAGCAUCGCAAUAUCAGGAAGGCAGAGAGUGAAUAUGAGAGGAAGGAAACGGGCAGUUGGUCCCCUGACCGGGGCACUGCAGGUCAGAUAGGUGAUAGGCUGAGCUGGCUGUGGCGGCGUAGCCUUCUUGUGGGUUCUCAGUCACCUAUAACCUUUUAAUCAAAAGGUAAAGAAGAGGAAGAAUGUGGAUUUCACAAUAUUUGAAGCAUCCUGCUAUUGAAAGUAGAGAAGAGGGCACUUUCAGAGGCUUACUACAGGGUAGCAACUGUGGAAAUUUGCUUGGUCAUAAAAAGUAGGAUGAGAUACAGUGAAAAGUAUUUAAAGAGAUCCAAAACUCAAUGAACCCAAUAAUCUUCUGUUAAAAAUAAGCUGAGAGUAAACUUUUUGGGGCGAGAAUAUCAUAAACACUUAAGCACUGAUUGUGUGCAGUCUGAAUGUCCGCAUGUGUGUGUCUAAGCAGUAACAAAAUCCAUCUCUGCUUGUGCAGAUUAUUUUGAGAUCAGUUAAGUGGAAAUAACUAAUGUUCAUGUAUGUAGAAGUUCCCCAUGUGAGUUUCCUUCUCAAAAUAUUGAUUUCCUUUUAUUCCACUGGAAAGGGAGACCUGUGAGGAAUAGAAAGAGGAGGCACUAUCUCUUUAUGAAUACUAAUAAGUAAAUCAAGGGAGACACUGGCACUUCGAGUUUCAUCUUUCCAUUUCCUAGAGGCGCAAACUCUGCAACUUGUCACCUUGGUGUAUUCAGUGCCUUUUGAAGCACUAUACUCCUCCAGAGAGAAUGUCAGCCCCAGCCCUGGGCAGUUUUGACAAACAGAGUAUAUAUUGAUACAUGAUAAAGUAUGCUAGAAAUCACCCCAGCGCUAAAGGCUACUAUAGUUUUAAUAUCAUCAUUUGAAUUAACAAGCAUUCUGUGGAGAAAUAAUGAGCUUUCAUUAUUCAGAACAUCAUCCUUACCCGGGGAACUCAGAAACCAUUAGCUCUUGAGAACUUAAUGAAAAGAUGAUAAAGAAUGUUUUAGAUAAAAGUUUGAACGGGCACACUUGAUAACUGAGGUAAAAUAUUAAUGUUUGUUUGGAUGAUGGAUUAGGGUUGCUCAGCGAGGCUUAGGGAAGUGACAGAAGCCAAGUGUGUGGUCAGGUUGCAGGUGGAGGGUCUGGACCGCCCCAGGGACAGUGUGAGAUGCCAGCUUGGGGAGCUGUGGUCCUGGGAAGACUACUAUGCUUACAGCCUGGCUGCCUCUCCUAUAGCCUGAAGACAGGAGGGAAAGGAGGCAGAUGGGAAGGGAAGGAAUUUAGAAGGGUAAAGUGUGAUCGACAGGUAUGGAUGUACAAAGGGUGAUCAAAUAUAUGGUGAGUGUUUAAAUUUAAAAUGUUUAUUAUAGUAAAAGACACAUUGCUAUUCAUUCACCUCAUAAUACUCUCCCCAACUUUGAGCACACUUAUCUCAUCCUUCUUGCCACUUUCUGAAGCAGUUCUGGAAGUCACCUUUCCUAUCUUAUUACCUUUCUCAUUGCUUGGAUAAACUAUGCAACAGCCCCAAGUUAAAGCAGGAGAGGUUUAUUGUGGCUCACAGUUUGUAGAGGUUUCACUACAUCGCCGGUUGGCUCCAAGGGACUGUGGCAUAGCAGAGGAGAAAAAAUUCAUGGCCUGGCAGGCAGUAAGCAGAGAGGGAUCAAGGGAGGAGGACAGAAAUGUACCUUUCCAGGCCACGCCCACUGUGACCCACUUCUUCCACCAGGCUUCACCUCCCAACAUCACAGCCAGGUGUAAACUCAUCAGUAAAUUAAUCCAGUAUCACACACCACGAUCCAGUCAUCUCCCAAAACCCCCAACUAUGAGUGCAUGAGGCUUUGGCCGGGGGGAAUCUAAAUAUAAACCAUGCCAAGGAUCUUUAGGAAGUGUGAUCACAAAUACAGUGAAUGCUGGGCCAAGUGUCAUCCAGGAGAAAAGUAGGCAUGUAAAAACAUUACGGUGUGUUCUCAUCCACCUUAUUUACUAGAUCUGGCACCAUGUGACUUCUGGCUCUUCUCUAAAGUCAAAAUGGUCAUGAAAGGUAAACAUUUUGAAUUGAUUCAGGACAUUGAGACAGUCAGAACAGCACAAAUAAUGACACAAAAGCAUUUCCAGAACUGCUUCAUAAAGUGGCAAGAACGAUGGGAUAGUGUGUUUGAAAUGAUGGGGAAUAUUUUGAAGGAGGUUAAUGGGACGUAUCUUUUACUGUAAUAAAUUUUUAAAAAUUUAAACAUUCAUCCAAUGUUUCAAUUAUACUUUGUAUAUGUUCAGAGAGGACAUCUCAGAUUACUGUUUUAAAGUCUUUAAUGUAUAAAAUAAAAACAAAACAAUUACAAGGUAAAUAUUUUGUUUUUCUUUUCAUAACCUCACUAACAGAUUAGGACAUUUUGAGAUACCUUUCUGGCUUUAAAAUUUUACAUUAUAAAGGUACUUUGGGAAGGGAAAGAAGCAUGACAGAAGCAGUAAAAGAGAUAGCAUCUUUAAGGCUCGCAUACUAACAUGAACCAUCUGUAAGCGAUAGAUGGAACUUGACCACACGUGGACAUGAAGUAAGUCAUGCGCAUCAAAGAACAUGAGGAAAACACAAAAAGUAGAAGACAGUGAAACAUUCCCAUUCCCACCUUACAGAGACAGUCUCUUGUACCACUUUGUUGUAUCGUAAUUUCCUUUGGCUCUUCUGUAAUAUGUCUACUACCUGCAAGGCAGUGAUUGCAUAUACAGAAUUAUA
Molecule: long non-coding RNA, 3293 nt
Filed under: Heterocephalus glaber (naked mole-rat)
Lineage: Eukaryota; Metazoa; Chordata; Mammalia; Rodentia; Bathyergidae
Description: lncRNA (ENSHGLG00000040261.1)
Source: RNAcentral